GCAUGCCACAUCACAAGGGCCACCCAGAACUGGCUCAACUCUCAUCAAAUCAAUUUCCCGGAGGAGAUCACCCAGCUCGUCAUGCUAGAGCACUUUUUCAAUGGGCUCCCCAACGACAUGGCAACGACGCAUUCGUAUGUCAUCCAUAUGAACUUUCGAUGACACUUUCUGCGCCUACCAUGGUGACCACGGGUAACGGGGAAUCACGGUUCGAUUCUGGAGAGGAAGACUGAGAAACGGCUACCGCAUGCAAAGAAGACAGC
Pelobates cultripes (western spadefoot toad) is the source of this 263-nucleotide non-coding RNA. NCBI's taxonomy places the organism in Eukaryota, Metazoa, Chordata, Amphibia, Anura, Pelobatidae. The record is from the annotation of a GenBank genome assembly.